Molecule: long non-coding RNA, 504 nt
Filed under: Sphaeramia orbicularis (orbiculate cardinalfish)
Lineage: Eukaryota; Metazoa; Chordata; Actinopteri; Kurtiformes; Apogonidae
Description: lncRNA (ENSSORG00005015227.1)
Source: RNAcentral
CUCCACAAAUGCUAAUUAUUCGACAAACACAUAACUACUUAUAUAACAAAAAUAAAGCCUGUGUUUAUUCUGACAGUGAUGGGCUAACGUUCUCAUUUUAGUCCCAGUGUGACAGCUGCUUUAGCAAACGCGUUUCUGAUUGGUCCACAUUUGACAUCCACACUCACGGACCAAUCAGAUCGCCGGAACUUCGUUAGUGCAUUAAGGAAGGAAAAAAAACAUACACAGCUGUCCACAAUCUGCACAAGAGGAAUAUAUCAAAACUCUUUUAAGGGCACAGCUGCAAACACAGGAGGAAAAGCCUUCGUGUUGAUCCGUCAAACAAAGCACCGCAUUUAUUCCGCACUGACUGCUACAAUGGUGUGACAACUGUGAACGCCCCUUUGCCAGACUCCGUCACUGAAGUGAAUACAGUCUCUGGAAAACAUGGAGGAAUUUUCUCACUCUUACAUAUCGGAAUAUGGAGACAUUGAGGAUAUAGAGGAGGAGGAGGAAGAAGAGGAG